Molecule: long non-coding RNA, 3279 nt
Organism: Macaca fascicularis (crab-eating macaque)
Lineage: Eukaryota; Metazoa; Chordata; Mammalia; Primates; Cercopithecidae
Source: Ensembl
UUUUUUUUAUUGAGAUGGAGUUUCACUUUGUCACCCAGGCUGCAGUGCAGUGGCAUGAUCUUGGCUCACUAAAACCUCCACCUACCGGGUUCAAGUGAUUCUUCUGCCUCAGCCUCCUGAGUAGCUGGGACUACAGGCACCUACAGGUGAACCCCACCAUGCCUGACUAAUUUGUGUAGUUUUAUUAGAGACAGGGUUUCGCCAUGUUGGCCAGGUUGGUCUUGAACUCCUGACCUCAGGUGAUCUACCCACCUCAGCCUCCCCAAGUGCUGGGAUUACAGAUGUGAGACACCAUACCUGCCUUAGAAGACAUUUUCUAUUGGAAAGAGAAAACACGAUUAGCAACCUAUUAGUGUUUAAUACUUAAUGUCUUCCUUAGUAAUAAACUAAGUCUAGAACAAAGUGCUUCCUGGCUGCCUAGUCAUUGAUUCAUUCGGUUCCACAUUUUCUUAAUGCCCAACCACCAAGUGUCUCUUGUAUGCCGAGUUCUAUGCUGAUUAUCAGUAAUUGAAUAAGAGGGGGUCUAGAUCUUAAGUAUUGCUUAAGAUGAAAGCCUCUAGGUUAACAAACUUAACACAAUGUUUCACUACUAAACAGACCAAAUACAAAAUCUUGUUAUUGGUCCCCAGAGAGAAUUGAAAUUCAAGUUUUCUCUCUCUCCUUUUCUCACUCACCACAAUAAGUCAGUUGCGUCAAGUCCUGUAGCUCUUUACUGAGCCAUCUUCUCACCCGUCCCCUUGUUUCAUUUGUCACACCCUAAAUAAAAAUUGUACUGGCUUUUUUUUUUCCCUGGAUUUACAGUGUUGAUACAUUGUCAAGAUUUACCUCUUCAUGUAGAUUCCCUGGGGAAAAUUACCUUUCCUCCUUCCCUUAAAUUCUUCAGAGAGGUUAGAAAGCCAUUAGUAACAUUCUGGUAUGUGGACAAAGUUUACCCAUUAUGUAUGGAUGUUUUACUCUUUUUAUUUUUCUGACAAUAAUCUCUUAAGGAAGUGUGGUUAUAAAAUAGCCAGCUGUUAUAAGUACUGUUUUUCUGGCCUUGGAACUUUUUUAAAGCUGUUUCUUAGUUUGCUCAUCUCAAAAUUCGGAAUAAGGAUAAAACCUAUUUCUAAGAUUGUUGGAUUAAAUGAAUUAACAUACUGGAAGCUCAUGAAAUUUGCCUGGCACACAGUAGUGCCUAAUAAACCAUCUCUCUUAUUUAGCCUGUUGUCUGAUUUCAGAAUCUACACUUGCUGAGCCAGAUUCUUUUCAUUUCAAGGUGAGCAAAAGCAUGCAAGGAAGAGAAGGAGGCAGGAAGAAAUUAAGCCCUAGGCCAAGGUCACACACCGAUUGGGAGCUGGAAUCAAAGGCAAUUUGGCCUGGCAAUGAAAAGGAUUCCAAGGCCCAUAUAAAGCAGUUCCAACCUUAAGAUCCAAAUUCUCGGACAUACAGGAAAUGCUAGGGGGAAAAAUCCUGUCCUCUCAGCCCAAGAGCCAUAUGAAACCAGACCUUCCUCAAAUCUGAUGACUCUCAGCCCAACUGCCCAUUAGAAUCGUUGUAAUUUAAAAAUAUCCUCGGAAAAUUCUAACGUGGCUAUCAAAGGUGAUCACUUGCUUCUAUGCCACUUUGUUUUCUCCCAAACGGGACAUCCAACCCUUUUCCUUUGAGGGUAGUUGUAGGGAAAGGAGUGGGUGGAAGGAGGAAAGAGCGGAAAAGGCUGGACCCGCCCCAAGCUGGUGUCAGUAUCUGGGAAGUGGGAGGAGCGUCAGCAGUAAACAGCCUCUGCUUGGAUUAUUAUCUCCUGCCCACACACUCAGAUUUGAAGGCUCGAAACAAAAAAUGCAAAACGUUUCAGUGGAAUUCCAGAAGCGUUCGACUAAACGACUGGGGUCUGUUUGGCCAGUCUGAGGAGCUGGGCGCUGAGGCGUAGGCAAGACUCAGCCCGCCUAGACUUCCCUGCCCACUUAAUUCCGAUCAAAGCAGAAACCGGCCCGGCGCGGUGGCUCACGCCUGUAAUUCCAGCACUUUGGGAGGCAGAGGCCGGCGGAUCACCUGAAGUCAGGAGACCAGCCCAGCUAACAUGGUGAAACUCCGUUUCUACUAGUGGCGGGCGUCUGUAAUCCCAUCUACUAGGCAGGCUGAGGCUGAGGCAGGAGAGUCGUCUGAAACCGUGAGGCGGAGUUUGCAUGCCGUGAGCCAAGAUCGCGCCACUGCACUCCAGCUUGGGCAACAAGAGCAAAACUCCAUUUCAAAACAGCAAACAGAUUUCAAAAAGCGCAGAAACCGAGAUCCGGAAGAAAACCUCGGCGAGACUCAGAAUCCAGGAAAACAGGUCCCUAGAAAUUUGCCCAUGGUCCCAGAUCUCCAUUUCUUGUGGGUGGGGCAGCUGUUACCAGACAGAAGCAAAGGUUUUCUUUUUUGGAGACGGUCUCACUCUGUUGCCCAGGCUGGAUGACAGUGGCACGGUCUCGGCUUACUGCAGCCUCCCCCUCCCUCCCACCUCAAGCGACUGUCCUGAGUCAGACUCAAGAGUAGCUGCAAUUGAAAGGUAUGUGCCACCACGCCCGACUAGUUUUUGUAAUUUUUUUUAGAGUCGAGUUUCAUCAUGUUGGCCAGGCUAGCGUCGAACUCGUGACCUCAGGUGAUCCGCGCCCCUCGGCCUCCCAAAGUGCUAGGAUUAGAGAGGUGAGCAGAAAGCAAAGGUUUUUGAGUGGCCACAGGCCCCAGUCUCCUUUUCUGGCUGUCCUGGAAACCUUGAGUCUCUUAAAAUAAAACAGCACGUUGCGUGUCAGGCAUCGUUCUAGAGUAGAGACAUUAGUCUGUUUUUUAGACACCUUUCAACUUCCUGGUUAACUUUUAGACAGUAUACUCUGCACUUUAGCAGGAAUGGAACCUAGAAGUUUAACAGAAUUAAGAAAAUGAGGCUGCCUACAGCCUAAAUUAAGAACAAAAUAGAAGGGGGACUAGUCGGAGGGCCGAACGAGGUUACCGUCACGCUACAGUUUUGCCUUGAAUUUACACUUUAAAAGCAAUCAGUUUUUUAGAUCACCAGGUAUCCCUAGCAUGUAAACUAAUUAGGCACCAACUAUGGUCGAUCUUACAAAACACUAGACUAGUUAGUUAGAAUAUAAUGAUAGCACAUGCGAACAAUAGAUCCUAACUGACCUAAUAGACCAACCUUUAGUAACACCGUUCCCCAAAAAACUGAAAAGCAAGAAUACACGUUGCUCCAGAUUGAGAUAAAAUUAACUUACCUUAGUGCUUUUUUCCCUCGUACGUACAAGCAGUGAGGUUAGCUCUUCC